Molecule: long non-coding RNA, 375 nt
Filed under: Physcomitrium patens
Lineage: Eukaryota; Viridiplantae; Streptophyta; Bryopsida; Funariales; Funariaceae
Description: long non-coding RNA (PPAT_LNC003186)
Source: RNAcentral
CCUUUCUCAGAGUUGUUUCCAAGUGCAUGUCUCCAUAUUCCCUACAGCAAACCCAAGCCAGGCAAUGCUGAAGCAGCGGCAUCUUCAGUGCACACCAUGCAAAGGUGAGAUGCCACUACUUGCAAAGUUCUGGCCCACAUUGGAAUUAAGUGGAAUUGCCGAGCCUUCGUGAGGUUUGCAAUUAAAUGUAUUGUAAUGCAAGUGGACUUAUCAAUUAAUUUAUUUUGAGACAAAAGGUGUAGAGCCCCCUAGCUAUUAGCAAUGUAAAUCACAGCCAGGUAUAGCAGGGGUGAGGUUCUAUGCAAUACUUUGGGUUGGUUAUAGUCAUUAGGGGGUUUCAAACAUGGCAUUUUUGGGGUGAUAUUUCACCAUGAU